CCGAACCGUCAACACGAGUUGUUGCUGGCCCCUCUGACGGGGGGCAUGUGCACGCUCUGUUUACACAUCCACUCACACCUGUGCACCCUCUGUGGUUCUAUGGCUCGAGGGGCCUUGUCCCUUAGCCGUGGUUCUACGUUUUUAUAUGCACCCUGUAGUAAAGUCUUAUGGAAUGUGUGCCGCGUUUAACGCAAUGAAAUA
RNAcentral lists this unclassified non-coding RNA (201 nucleotides) under uncultured Thelephoraceae. RNAcentral's name for it is "sequence contains ITS1". The record is from RNAcentral. Lineage: Eukaryota; Fungi; Basidiomycota; Agaricomycetes; Thelephorales; Thelephoraceae.